AAUUAUUUCUAAUUUAUCCAUUUUUAUUGGAAUUCAUUAUUUCCUUUUUCAUAAGAAAGCUAUAUAUAUAUAUAUAUUUGUUUUAUAGGUGAUGUUUGCGUAUCUUUGAAUUAGUCUAAAACUGCAAAUUUUCAUAUUUGUUUGAAAACCUUGUUAUAUAUUUUAUAUUACUCGUGGGAAAACCAUUCAAAAUAAAUUCAACUGUUAUUUAGUUGAAGGAUUUAUUCACUACUUUAUUUCUUGAUAAUCAAGGUGGUGGAGCGUACCGGAGACUUGGGGGCAUGGCCCCUUCCUAAAAUGGAUGUUGAUGGAAAUUGGCACGUUGGAGCGUUGGCAUCAUUACUCGACCUCGUCGGAGCCAUUACUACUUUUUCAUAUGCCAAUUGUGUCUCUACUGUAGCUGAUUUCAACGCUUCAUAUUAUUCAACAGAACAUGUAGAGAUAGAAUCAAGGGUUAUGGCAGACAAAGGGAAACUUAUACAUGUGGUGGUUCAAGUUAGAAAGAAAGGAAAUGGAGAGGUAAUUGCUGUAGGUAACCUAUGGAUGGCUUCAAAUAACCUCACUAUUGCUCAAAUGAGUAAUCUUUGAUCACUUAAACCAUGUUAACUAAGAUAAAUGAUAAUUAAUAUGUGUUGGUUAUGGUUAUCAUCUCUUGGAUAUCAAAUAAACAUGUACUAUCUUUUGAA
Molecule: RNA transcript, 686 nt
Organism: Gossypium arboreum
Lineage: Eukaryota; Viridiplantae; Streptophyta; Magnoliopsida; Malvales; Malvaceae
Exons: 3
Source: RefSeq, a predicted model, not a curated record